GGCAGUUAGGCUGUUAGGAAGGCAGUUAGGCUGCAGUGAAUUCUACAAAGAGGCUAUGGGAAAGAAACCUGGAAAGGUAGGGAGGUAUGGAUAUGGACAAGCUAUGCCAAGGAGCAGGGCUUUGUCAUGGAGAGUGACUAGGUGCUUUUACAUAGGAAAGUCACCUGAUAAUAUUAAAACCUGUGAAAUAUCACUCUGGUGGAAGUGUGAAUGAAUUUGAAAGGGGUGUAACACUGUUCUACUUUGUUUACUCCUCAGUACCCUUGGCUGUGUACAUUUGAGUAAAGAGAGCACUAUAAAAUCAAAAACCAAUGAAAUGGUUUCCAGAACACAGAACUAUUAAGCUUAAGAAAAGGACAGAAGGAACUGAAGAGAGAGGAACUGUUUUGGAGCAUCACACUUCCACCUCAGAAGAAAUAAGGAAGGAAGGAGGAGGGUGUUCCCACGGCUCUUCAACCAGGCCGGCUCUUCAGCCUACAUCCCCAUCUCAUCAAGUAAAAGGGAUUUUUCAACUGGACCAACCAGAUGGUUUAACAGUGCACUCCCACACCAUUCAACUACGCAAGGGAGAUACACUUAACAUAUGCAGUCGUAUAACACCUACUAACAUUUUCAAACAUUAAACCUUUAAAAAAGAGUUCUAAAGAAAUAGAAGCUUGAAGUAUCAUCUCUCAAGUAUAUAGACACUACUUCAUGGUGUGGUAAUAUAUGCAUAUAGAAGCUAGUAAACACCUCCAGGAGAUGCAAAAGGAAUUAGAACUGCCACAAGGUGCAAGCAAAACCUUGAGGUAAUCAAUCUGCAUCCCAUUUUGGAUGAGAAUAUUUGCAACUUUGAAGGUUAUUUUAAGGACAGCAGCAGAAGAAUUAUGGCAGGUAUCUGAAAUUCAUUUCUGUGCUUUGCCGAGGACCCAUGGGAUGCCAUUUGCAGAUGAGAAAACUAAAGAAUAGCUUUAUCUUCCAGCUCUUCACGGAAAAAAAAAUGGCAACAAUAAAAUCAGCAACUCCUGCCAAAUAAAUGGGCAUAAAAAAGAAAUCAUAGACUGCUGGCAAUGGUGGGGAAAAAGUUAUAAAAAUUGUCUCUGCACCAUCUUCCUUUUGUCCUCUAAAAUAUUCACAUUAGCAAAAGUAUAUAACAGCUGAUGAAGAAAUACUGAUAAUUUGUCUUUUUCUGUUUUUCCUCUUCUAAUCCUUCACCCAUCUGAGCUAAAGUCUAGACCUAAGGAGGCUACUAAUUCAGGGAUCGAGUAAUCUGCCAAGCAAGAGUUUAUUCAAGCACAGUUUGAAAUAAAGGUUUCAAAUGCAUAGCCUGUCGAUACUUUGGAAGGAUUCUCAUCAUAACGAGUAUGCAAUUUGCUAUAAAGAAGAAUGCCCAUUACGGACUAAAUGUUUAUGUCCUCCUAAAAUUCAUAUGUUGAAGGCCUAACUCUCAAUGUGAUGAUUAUGUGGAGAUGGUGCCUUUGGGAGGUAACUGGGCUUAGAUGUGGGCGUGAGGGUGGGGCCUCAUGGUGAAAUUUGUGCCCUUGUAAGAAAAACACACCACAGGUUUUCAUUCUUCCUCUGCCACAUGAGGCCACAGUAAGAAUGUGACCAUCUGCUAGCCAGGAGGAAAGUCCUCACUGGAACCCGCCCAUAAUAACACUCCAGUCUGGGGCUUUUCAGCCUCCAGAACCAUGAGAAAUAAAUUUCUAGUGUUUAAGUCAC
Long non-coding RNA from Homo sapiens (human), 1701 nucleotides. Ensembl annotates it as long intergenic non-protein coding RNA 343. The record is from Ensembl. NCBI's taxonomy places the organism in Eukaryota, Metazoa, Chordata, Mammalia, Primates, Hominidae.